CCAAGUGAUUUGGGAGCCCUUUCAGUCAAGGUGAACACAGAGCAGGGCUGGGGCUGGCUGCUUCUGGGCAUGCAGAGGAUGAGCAGCGACAGGAUGUGCCAGGCCCUGGUCCCUACAUCCUAAGAGAUGAGGAAAAAUAAAAGAGGGGAAAAAGAGUGUUUACAGGGGAGACUUUGCAGACAGAAGGAAGCUGGGUGCAAGGCCCUAUCUAUGAAUGGAGAUUACUUCUGCUUCUUAAAAGGACUAUUACUUGCAACCUCUGCUCCCUCCAGCUAUAGACACAGGCUAUCCUUGACCUCCUCAGCUUGUUCAGCACCACCUGCUAACCAGGCACACCCGGACCCACUGCUGAGAUUCCCAGGAAGCAGAGCAGUGCAGUGAAACCAAAAUCAUUAUGUUGACUGAAUUCAUUACUGCCGGACUUGUCCC
This is a long non-coding RNA of Vidua chalybeata, 429 nucleotides long. RefSeq lists it as uncharacterized. The record is from RefSeq and is a predicted model, not a curated record. NCBI's taxonomy places the organism in Eukaryota, Metazoa, Chordata, Aves, Passeriformes, Viduidae. The transcript is spliced from 4 exons.